Molecule: ribosomal RNA, 301 nt
Filed under: uncultured bacterium
Lineage: Bacteria
Description: partial 16S ribosomal RNA
Rfam family: Bacterial small subunit ribosomal RNA
Source: RNAcentral
CAGUAGCCGCGGUAACACGUAGGUCCCGAGCGUUGUCCGGAUUUAUUGGGCGUAAAGGGAGCGCAGGCGGUUUAGUAAGUCUGAAGUUAAAGGCAUUGGCUCAACCAAUGUAUGCUUUGGAAACUGUUAGACUUGAGUGCAGAAGGGGAGAGUGGAAUUCCAUGUGUAGCGGUGAAAUGCGUAGAUAUAUGGAGGAACACCGGUGGCGAAAGCGGCUCUCUGGUCUGUCACUGACGCUGAGGCUCGAAAGCGUGGGUAGCGAACAGGAUUAGAUACCCCCGUAGUCCCUGUCUCUUAUACA